Molecule: ribosomal RNA, 253 nt
Filed under: uncultured bacterium
Lineage: Bacteria
Description: partial 16S ribosomal RNA
Rfam family: Bacterial small subunit ribosomal RNA
Source: RNAcentral
UACGUAGGGUGCGAGCGUUAAUCGGAAUCACUGGGCGUAAAGCGUGCGCAGGCGGUUCGUUAAGACAGAUGUGAAAUCCCCGGGCUUAACCUGGGAACUGCAUUUGUGACUGGCGAGCUAGAGUAUGGCAGAGGGGGGUAGAAUUCCACGUGUAGCAGUGAAAUGCGUAGAGAUGUGGAGGAAUACCGAUGGCGAAGGCAGCCCCCUGGGCCAAUACUGACGCUCAUGCACGAAAGCGUGGGGAGCAAACAGG